Molecule: long non-coding RNA, 1617 nt
Organism: Homo sapiens (human)
Lineage: Eukaryota; Metazoa; Chordata; Mammalia; Primates; Hominidae
Source: Ensembl
UGCCAGAGCUGGGAAGUGAACAUUCAGUCUACAAGAUACACUGCUCAUUCCCUCAGGACCAUGUCUACACCAAGACCCAGGAGCUGGGAACAUGUCACCUAGAGCAGGCCGCAGGGCCCAGGAGAGCCUGGGAGCCAGAGAAAUGUCCGGUGCUUCAAGACAUACACCUUAAAUCCCACUGGACCCUGCUCACCAUCUGACCUUGAAGAGCCCGGGACCCUCAAAGGGGAAGGGGCGUGCCUGGUCCAAGGUACCAGGAAGCUGUCAUCGGGAAUGGAGGCUCAUGGAGGCUCAGGAUCUGGGGGAGGGCAAAUGUUAGCGGAAGGGUGACUCUCUUCUGGCCACAGGGUAGGGGGAGAGCCCUGCCAAGGUCAGGGUACCAGAGAAGAGGCCCUGCUUCAUUGGCAGACACAGUGUACAGGGGACAGAGAGAAACAGAGGAGUCCAAUGUUGGCAGACACAGUAUACAGGGGACAGAGGGAAACAGAAGAGUCCAAUGUUGUUACAUCCAGCUGGGGGGCCCAGGAGGUACAGCUGCUGAGGAGGAAGAGAGGGACCAGGAAAACCUCCCUCCCCUCUCACCUUCCUUAGACACCCACCAUGCACCCCACAUGCCCACCCGAUGCUGGUUUCUGGGAGAAUAUGAAGGGGCAGAAGUCAUAGCCUGGGUCCUCAGGAAGACACUAUGCGCCAGCUCUUCACUGAGAGUGUACCUUCACUGGCUGACCAAAAACCUGCCUUACUACCCCAGAUUAUCCCCACUUUACAAAUAUGGAAACCAGCUCUGGAGAGGUGGCCAAGAGCACCCAGAGAGUAAAAGGUAAAGCCAGCAUUCAGCCCAUUCACGACUGUACUGCUUGGCACAAGGAUGCGGGCCCAUGGAGGUCCCCGCGGAAGUCUUAUGACCCACAUUGGACUCGCUGAGUGGAUACCAUGUCAUUCACUGACGCUGAGUGAAUGCAUGGAUUCUGUGAGGAAGUCUGAAGAAGGGACAGGGGUUCCAGGAAAAAACAGUAGAUUCCACACAGUGUCACUCCUUCCUGAAACCUCACCAGAACAACAAUUAAAAAAGGAUGUUCUGAAUGCCAUAGGCCCCUAGGGAGGGGGAGAAUGGUAGAGGAAAAACCACCACAGAACUUUGGAAGCUGGAAAGCAGAUGGGCUGGUGGCAGUUGAGAGCUGACCCAAGAAAAUCACAAAUCCCAGCGUGAGAGACACUUGACUGACCGCCUGCAAUCCUCAAAAGCCCAGGAACUGGCAGCCCCGGAAACCUCUGGAAGAAGAGAGUCGGAAUGCAGUGGCGCCAUCUCGGCUUACUGCAACCUCCACCUCCCAGGUUCAAGCAAUUCUCCCACCUCAGCCUCCCAAGUAGCUGGGACUACAGGCAUGUGCCACCACACCCAGCUAAUUUUUUGUAUUUUUAGUGGAGGCGGGGUUUCACCAUGUUAGCCAGGAUGGUCUCAAUCUCCUGACCUCGUGAUCUGCACAUCUCGGCCUCCCAAAGUAUUGGGAUUACAGGCGUGAGCCACCGCGCCCGGCCAGCUAACACCACUCUUAAUGGUGAGAGACUAAAUGCAUCCCCUGGAAGAUCAGAAACAAGGUAUCUACCCUUCUAUUC